RNAcentral lists this ribosomal RNA (465 nucleotides) under uncultured bacterium. RNAcentral describes it as "partial 16S ribosomal RNA". It matches the Rfam family "Bacterial small subunit ribosomal RNA", at positions 28 to 507 of the family's 1533-position model. The record is from RNAcentral.
GACGAACGCUGGCGGCGUGCUUAACACAUGCAAGUCGUACGGUAAGGCCCUUUCGGGGGUCCACGAGUGGCGCACGCGUGAGUAACACGUAAGUAACCAGCCCCCAACUUUGGGAUAACGAUAGGAAACUGGUACUGAUACUGGAUAUGUGCUCCUGCUGCAUGGUGGGGGUUGGAAAGCUCCGGCGGUUGUGGAUGGAUUGGCGGCCUAUCAGCUUGUUGGGGGGGUUAUGGCCUACCAAGGCGGCGGCGGGUAGCCGGACUGCGAGGGUGACCGGCCACAUAGGGUCCGAGGGACGGCCGAGGUACCGACGGGUGGCAGCAGGGGGAAAGAUUGCACAAGGGGCGCAAGCUGGAUGCAGCAGGGCCUCGGGCGGGAAGACGGUCUUAUGGUUGAAAAACGCUUUCAGCAGGGACGAAGCUUGUUGUGACGGUACCUGCAGAAGAAGCACCGGCUAACUACGUG